Long non-coding RNA from Cyprinus carpio carpio, 1269 nucleotides. Lineage: Eukaryota; Metazoa; Chordata; Actinopteri; Cypriniformes; Cyprinidae. The record is from Ensembl.
CUUUAUUUAGAGGAUAUUAAGAGCCAACUGGGACGCCGCCAUAGCGAGUCGAGCCAUGAAACUGUAAACAGCGGCUUGAGACAAAUGCAUUCAAAGGGCACAGACAGAGAUUCUCUUCUCAUCAUCCAUCACUCGGAAUCCUUUCAACUCAUGAACUGAAUGGUGGCCAAUUGUUAAAAGCUGGAUUUUGCUCAACAUUGACAUACAGUAAGGUUAGACAGUUGACAAUGCAAAAUGAGUCCAGUGAUUCAGGAGGACAGUGAAUGUGCAGUAAUCCUAAAAUAACAGUUGCAGAGCAAAGCUUAUCUGCCAAAUUGACAACUCAUUGGUUGGCAGCUCAUUAAAAGUCACAUCCUUCUUGGAAACUGACAUCGGCUGAGGACUUGUGCUGACUUGACAGCUUUGGAGUAUCUUUGGGACUUAGUCGAGGAACACUGUUACUGGAUGUUAUCUCUUAUGUUUUUGCAUAAAAAUCUGACUCUUUUUGCAUCUUUUGAGGUGGUACAGUAAUUAUGUUGAUGACUUGCAUAUACUUAGUUUACAUAGAGAUUUCUCUGUUUAGUUUGGUUGAUUUGAUGUUAAUAAUCGCUUCAUAUGGGCAUCUUCACCAUGAUGAGAAGCUAUACGACUCUCAAUUCAUCCUCUAGAAAUGCAUGACUCUUUUCAGACUCUUCUCCUCACGGAUUCUCUUGUCCUAUGUGGGUAUUCGGACUCAAGGAAGAACACUCUAGUCUUCAGUGAGACUGAAGCCUUUGAUGGCUUUGUGUUGGGUAUGGUGUUGAAUAUGGAUUGUUUAUGUUCACAGUACACUUGAGGAUAAUAGUGUCUGGCCUGCAGUAUAACACCUAUAAUCAGAGCGAUGCAGACGGAUACAAGCGUCCUCCAUAGUACAGGGCAAUUUACAAUUUGUCAUUUAGCGGACACUUUUUACCAGAAGCAAUCUGCGAUAGACGAAUUACUUUGAAUUCCCUAUGGAAAAACUCAGUGCAAGAGUUUCAGUUGCCAUUAUGCUGUGUCUUAACCAGACAUGAUGCGAUAGGAUUAAAGUAGCAAGUGAAUUGUCUGUCCUUACUUGACGCUAAAAAUGCUGCGUGAUGAGACACAAACAAAGCCAAUCAGAACAUAUUUGAUGUUUGGUAUACAGCUGUGUGCAGUGGGAUUUUGGGCAGUUGAGAUUUCAUUGUGAGCAAAGAGUAGGCCACAAGAAUAAAAAUCAAGCAAUGAGUAAAGUUUUGUAAAUGUGAAUUUGUUUUUGUUUAUUUUAAGCUA